RNAcentral lists this ribosomal RNA (765 nucleotides) under uncultured Streptococcus sp. RNAcentral's name for it is "bacterial SSU rRNA". It matches the Rfam family "Bacterial small subunit ribosomal RNA", at positions 28 to 776 of the family's 1533-position model. The record is from RNAcentral. Lineage: Bacteria; Bacillati; Bacillota; Bacilli; Lactobacillales; Streptococcaceae.
GAUGAACGCUGGCGGCGUGCCUAAUACAUGCAAGUAGAACGCUGAAGCUUGGUGCUUGCACCGAGCGGAUGAGUUGCGAACGGGUGAGUAACGCGUAGGUAACCUGCCUCUUAGCGGGGGAUAACUAUUGGAAACGAUAGCUAAUACCGCAUAAAAGACGAUAUCGCAUGAUAUUGAUUUGAAAGGUGCAAAUGCAUCACUAAGAGAUGGACCUGCGUUGUAUUAGCUAGUUGGUGAGGUAACGGCUCACCAAGGCAACGAUACAUAGCCGACUUGAGAGGGUGAUCGGCCACACUGGGACUGAGACACGGCCCAGACUCCUACGGGAGGCAGCAGUAGGGAAUCUUCGGCAAUGGGGGCAACCCUGACCGAGCAACGCCGCGUGAGUGAAGAAGGUUUUCGGAUCGUAAAGCUCUGUUGUAAGAGAAGAACGAGUGUGAGAGUGGAAAGUUCACACUGUGACGGUAACUUACCAAAAAGGGACGGCUAACUACGUGCCAGCAGCCGCGGUAAUACGUAGGUCCCGAGCGUUAUCCGGAUUUAUUGGGCGUAAAGCGAGCGCAGGCGGUUAGAUAAGUCUGAAGUUAAAGGCUGUGGCUUAACCAUAGUACGCUUUGGAAACUGUUUAACUUGAGUGCAGAAGGGGAGAGUGGAAUUCCAUGUGUAGCGGUGAAAUGCGUAGAUAUAUGGAGGAACACCGGUGGCGAAAGCGGCUCUCUGGUCUGUAACUGACGCUGAGGCUCGAAAGCGUGGGGAGCAAACAGG